This 374-nucleotide ribosomal RNA is filed under the name uncultured organism. RNAcentral's name for it is "bacterial SSU rRNA". It matches the Rfam family "Bacterial small subunit ribosomal RNA", at positions 526 to 896 of the family's 1533-position model. The record is from RNAcentral.
CGUAGGGGGCAAGCGUUGUCCGGAAUUAUUGGGCGUAAAGCGCGUGUAGGCGGUCCGAUAAGUCGGCUGUGAAAGUCCAGGGCUCAACUCUGGGAUGCCGGCCGAUACUGUCGGACUAGAGUUCGGAAGAGGCGAGUGGAAUUCCCGGUGUAGCGGUGAAAUGCGCAGAUAUCGGGAGGAACACCAAUGGCGAAGGCAGCUCGCUGGGACGUUACUGACGCUGAGACGCGAAAGCGUGGGGAGCAAACAGGAUUAGAUACCCUGGUAGUCCACGCUGUAAACGAUGGGCACUAGGUGUGGGAGGUGUCGACUCCUCCCGUGCCGGAGCUAACGCAUUAAGUGCCCCGCCUGGGGGAGUACGGGCCGCAAGGCUA